RNAcentral lists this ribosomal RNA (396 nucleotides) under uncultured bacterium. RNAcentral describes it as "partial 16S ribosomal RNA". It matches the Rfam family "Bacterial small subunit ribosomal RNA", at positions 523 to 918 of the family's 1533-position model. The record is from RNAcentral.
AUACGUAGGUGGCAAGCGUUGUCCGGAAAUAUUGGGCGUAAAGCGCAUGUAGGCGGUGUGGUAAGUCGGUCGUGAAAAUGCGGUGCUUAACGGCGUAUGGCGAUCGAAACUGCUGAACUUGUGGGCCGGAGAGGAAAGGGGAACUCCCAGUGUAGCGGUGAAAUGCGUAGAGAUUGGGAGGAACACCAGUGGCGAAGGCGACUUACUGGACUGUAACUGACGCUGAGGCGCGAAAGUGUGGGGAGCAAACAGGAUUAGAUACCCUGGUAGUCCACACUGUAAACGAUGAAUGCUAGGUGUAGGGGGUAUCGACCCCUUCUGUGCCGCAGUCAACACAAUAAGCAUUCCGCCUGGGGAGUACAGCCGCAAGGUUGAAACUCAAAGGAAUUGGCGGGG